GUUAUUAUUCAAUAACCUGAAAAAAGAGAACAGAAUAAGGAUAUUUCUCUGAAAAGCCCAUAACAAUCAAUUACAAAAAAAUAUAAAAGAAAAUAAAAAACCCAACAAGCAUUGUUUGGAAAACAAUUAGGCAAUGAAUGUGAAUAAUCACUAAUCACUUCAGUUUUUACUGUAUGCAUCUGGUGUAAUUGGGCAGUGCACCCUUGGUGUAUCUUCAAUCAAUUUAUUUAAUAAUAUUUAAGGAUUGCAAUGCUCUACAUUUAUCAAUAUGCAAAAAUGGAAAAAUCAGUUUAUUUUUAGAAAAGUGUGCAAGUUAAGAGAGGCCAUAGUAUCCAAUAAUGUUCAUGGAACAAGUCCAAUGGUUUAUGCUUCCCUUUGGGGAAGGUUGAUGUGUUUUUGAUGUAUGGAAUCCAUACUCAAUGUUUUUUCCAUUUCUUUAUUUUACAAGUUUCAAUUCAGUAUACCCAUGCAUCUAUGGUUGUUAUUUAAAUCUUUGUUGUAAGCCUCUUCAUGCAAUUUUAGCCCAUUUCCUAACUGCUAAGAACUUGCCUUAACUGGCCUGCAUGGACCAACAAUAUGAAACUAAGACAGCAAAAAUAAUGUUGGCAUGGUAUGACUAUAAAUG
RNAcentral lists this unclassified non-coding RNA (625 nucleotides) under Hevea brasiliensis (rubber tree). The record is from RNAcentral. Lineage: Eukaryota; Viridiplantae; Streptophyta; Magnoliopsida; Malpighiales; Euphorbiaceae.